GUGGAAAUAUUUUAGGCAGCCCAUGGAUUUUCAUAAUUUUCACACUACACCCCCUGUAUUAAAUUGGAUAGUUUGCCCGCCUCCAUGGCCUCAUCAGAUUUCCAAUAGCAACUUUUCUAUACAUUGUAACUGGAAUUUCCAGUAUCUUCAGUCCCUUAGGUUUUGUGUUUAAUUAAAAUGCUACUUAGUAUUUGCCAAUAAAAAUUGCUUUUAAAAGUCUAUACUAACGUUUGGUGUUGUUUCAGGAUAAACACUCAUAAUUUUUCUCCUGAUGAUGGAACCAAGUGCUAACAAUUGCAAGACACCACUGUCGGACGAAGGUUUGCAAGUUGAAAUGAUCUCCUCUUGAUAAAUAGCUUCCAACAAAGAACGAUCAUUCGCAAUGUCUUCAAAAUGGCUGCCAGUAUCUUUUAAGUGUUUCUUUUGUGCAGACAUUUUACGAAAUAUGUCUUCAUCAGACAUAUAAAAUUCGAUAAAUAAAGCCAGUUCAACAACACAACGUACCCUCAAUUCGGUGUGCAUAUCUUCAUUUCCAGAAACAAGAAUGGAAAAGGAGCGGAAGCACGAACUAUCGGCCGAUGUUUCUAACGCGACACAAUCUGAUGAAGAGGGCAAAUAUUGUUGCGAAUUAAAAUCCACAGUGAAUUUGGAAUAGUCUGGCACUUUCCAUUUAAAAACACCAAUUGUCUCCAUAAUUUCUGCGCAAAAAUUUUUAAAUUCUGCCCAACUUUUUGUCGAAACGUUUUCCAAGUCCUCAAGGAUGCACUUAUACAUAUCCGCCAUAUUGAAAAUACUGAAAUCUGCUAGGCGUUCUGAAGCACCUUGAGCUGUGACGUCACACUUAGGUCCCA
Non-coding RNA from Paramuricea clavata, 851 nucleotides. NCBI's taxonomy places the organism in Eukaryota, Metazoa, Cnidaria, Anthozoa, Malacalcyonacea, Plexauridae. The record is from the annotation of a GenBank genome assembly.